Molecule: ribosomal RNA, 497 nt
Filed under: uncultured bacterium
Lineage: Bacteria
Description: partial 16S ribosomal RNA
Rfam family: Bacterial small subunit ribosomal RNA
Source: RNAcentral
GAUGAACGCUGGCGGCGUGCCUAAUACAUGCAAGUCGAGCGAACGGACGAGAAGCUUGCUUUUCUGAUGUUAGCGGCGGACGGGUGAGUAACACGUGGAUAACCUACCUAUAAGACUGGGAUAACUUCGGGAAACCGGAGCUAAUACCGGAUAAUAUUUUGAACCGCAUGGUUCAAAAGUGAAAGACGGUCUUGCUGUCACUUAUAGAUGGAUCCGCGCUGCAUUAGCUAGUUGGUAAGUUAACGGCUUACCAAGGCAACGAUGCAUAGCCGACCUGAGAGGGUGAUCGGCCACACUGGAACUGAGACACGGUCCAGACUCCUACGGGAGGCAGCAGUAGGGAAUCUUCCGCAAUGGGCGAAAGCCUGACGGAGCAACGCCGCGUGAGUGAUGAAGGUCUUCGGAUCGUAAAACUCUGUUAUUAGGGAAGAACAUAUGUGUAAGUAACUGUGCACAUCUUGACGGUACCUAAUCAGAAAGCCACGGCUAACUACGUG